UGGGGAAUAUUGGACAAUGGGCGAAAGCCUGAUCCAGCCAUGCCGCGUGUGUGAAGAAGGUCUUCGGAUUGUAAAGCACUUUAAGUUGGGAGGAAGGGCAGUAAGCGAAUACCUUGCUGUUUUGACGUUACCGACAGAAUAAGCACCGGCUAACUCUGUGCCAGCAGCCGCGGUAAUACAGAGGGUGCAAGCGUUAAUCGGAAUUACUGGGCGUAAAGCGCGCGUAGGUGGUUCGUUAAGUUGAAUGUGAAAGCCCCGGGCUCAACCUGGGAACUGCAUCCAAAACUGGCGAGAUAGAGUAGGGCAGAGGGUGGGGGAAUUUCCUGGGGAACGGUGAAAUGCGUAAGAAUAGGGAGGAACACCAGUGGCGGAGGCGACCACCUUGGCUCAUAAUGACACUGAAGUGCGAAAGCGUGGGGAGCAAACAGG
RNAcentral lists this ribosomal RNA (429 nucleotides) under Pseudomonadota bacterium. Its description in RNAcentral is "Proteobacteria bacterium partial 16S ribosomal RNA". It matches the Rfam family "Bacterial small subunit ribosomal RNA", at positions 355 to 776 of the family's 1533-position model. The record is from RNAcentral. Lineage: Bacteria; Pseudomonadati; Pseudomonadota.